CCAAAAGCUAAGUUGAAACUAGUGAGAGAUUUCGGAAGUCUCAGUGUCAGAAGUUCGGAGGGCUCAGUUCCACAUCUAUUAAGCUGCCCUCUGUGCUCGAUCAGGUUUAGGAAUUCUCCCAAAACAAGCAGCACUACCCCACCUCUUGCCCUAGAUUUUCUUACAUCAGACAAGGAAAAAGUAUCUCUGCCUGGGUCUGCAUAAAGCUAAAAAAAAAAAAAAAUCAGAGAGCCAGUCCCUCUUUCAAACACACAUGAACAUUUUAACAUGAAAAAAAUCCCUUUAUUUAAGAGGGAAAAGGAAGGGAGGGAGAGAAGAAAAAGAGCAAAAAAGAAAAAGAAAAAGUAAAACAAGAACUUAUGGACCUAAUUUUCAAGGAAAGAGAUGGGGGAGGAGGUGAAUGUCCUUACUUCCUAGAGUGAAGCCUGGUGCCAGCUUUGCCAAGGCUCACCACAUCUCUGUUGCCACAUUCCGUUGGCACCUAAAAGUCAAUGAAACACAGAUUUCACUGCAAGCCAAAAGUUGAAUUUCACAAAGGUCAAAGGGAAAGUUCAAGUUGCUGUGUCAGUGAGUCUCAAACCACAGGAUGAGAUGUGCUGACGGCCACACAGAAUACCCUCAACAGCGGAGCAGCGCCUUGCCAGACAGGAUAUGUUUCUGCUCUUGAGGAAUCGCCUCACUGAGACACUGGCAAUAUACCUUGAUGUGCAGAUAAAGC
This is a long non-coding RNA of Suricata suricatta (meerkat), 718 nucleotides long. RefSeq lists it as uncharacterized. Lineage: Eukaryota; Metazoa; Chordata; Mammalia; Carnivora; Herpestidae. The transcript has 3 exons. The record is from RefSeq and is a predicted model, not a curated record.